AGUGCAGACCUUGACCCCUUAUUGGUUGUGACACCUUGGGAAAGUUAUUCAGCCUUAUUAAACCUCGAUUUUCUCAUCUAUAAAAAGAAGGUGACAGUUUCUGCCCUGCUUCUUUUACAGGGCGGUUGAAUGUGAAAGGGUCCUACAAAUGUGGUCAUGCCGUGUUUUAAACUGUCUGUAACCAAUUGCUACGACUUCUGCACAAACCCAUCCCGGAGGUCCGAGUGCCAAAGCUGCCCUUCAUGACUCGCGUCCACAGCCUGCAAAGCCCCUAGUGGAUCCUACCUCUGUGGCUGCUGCGACAGAGCUGCUGCCUUACCUGAGGCUUCCACGAACAACAGAGACAUCUGUAAGUAGUGAACUGGAGCCAUUCUCUGGAGCAUCCGUGGGGUCCUCAUGUUUGGGGAAGCUUGGGAUUCUUGAGAAUUGAUGACUCAGCAAAUGGAGUUCUGUGCUGGCUCAGAGAAAGGAGCAUCACACAGACAGGGGCCCAGUACAUACUGAUGUACAAGUGCACUUGACUUUGUAAAGCUAGUGCCCAGAUUAGUCUGUGAGGUCGGUGGGCAGCCCUGGCCUGGAGUGACCAACAAGACUGCCCAGCUUCCCUUCAUCUACAAGACUGGAGAAGUCACUCCUCACCACGUGAAAGAUAUCAUUGGCUGACUCAUCUGCCUCACAGGCUUCUUUUGAAUGGAAAAUGAAAUAAAACAUGGGAAGAGCCAUGCACCAUUUGUGCAGAGAUGCCCUGUACUCCAACAGAUAUAUGGGAAACAUGUUCGGCCAGAAACAUGAAUAAGGAGUCAC
RNAcentral lists this long non-coding RNA (804 nucleotides) under Bos grunniens (domestic yak). Its description in RNAcentral is "lncRNA (ENSBGRG00000000562.1)". Lineage: Eukaryota; Metazoa; Chordata; Mammalia; Artiodactyla; Bovidae. The record is from RNAcentral.